ACGAACGCUGGCGGCGUGCUUAACACAUGCAAGUCGAACGGAAAGGCCCUGCUUUUGUGGGGUGCUCGAGUGGCGAACGGGUGAGUAACACGUGAGUAACCUGCCCUUGACUUUGGGAUAACUUCAGGAAACUGGGGCUAAUACCGGAUAGGAGCUCCUGCUGCAUGGUGGGGGUUGGAAAGUUUCGGCGGUUGGGGAUGGACUCGCGGCUUAUCAGCUUGUUGGUGGGGUAGUGGCUUACCAAGGCUUUGACGGGUAGCCGGCCUGGGAGGGGGACCGGCCACCUUGGGCCUGAGAUACGGCCCAGACUCCUACGGGAGGCAGCAGUGGGGAAUAUUGCACAAUGGGCGGACGCCUGAUGCAGCAACGCCGCGUGCGGGAUGACGGCCUUCGGGUUGUAAACCGCUUUCGCCUGUGACGAAGCGUGAGUGACGGUAAUGGGUAAAGAAGCACCGGCUAACUACGUG
RNAcentral lists this ribosomal RNA (467 nucleotides) under uncultured bacterium. RNAcentral describes it as "partial 16S ribosomal RNA". It matches the Rfam family "Bacterial small subunit ribosomal RNA", at positions 29 to 507 of the family's 1533-position model. The record is from RNAcentral.